Salvia miltiorrhiza (redroot sage) is the source of this 1837-nucleotide long non-coding RNA. RefSeq lists it as uncharacterized. NCBI's taxonomy places the organism in Eukaryota, Viridiplantae, Streptophyta, Magnoliopsida, Lamiales, Lamiaceae. The record is from RefSeq and is a predicted model, not a curated record. The transcript is spliced from 2 exons.
GGUUUUUCAUAUUUUAUAUUGGUGAACUUUAAUGCGGCAAAUUUGUGGCUCCGGUGCACAUUAUAUUGUUAAUGCUGCUUUUGAGAUGCAACACUAGCAUUAUAUAUUUGCUAUUAUGUUUAGAGUUGGAGGAUAUAGGGCUGACUAAGAUAUUUGAAGAAUGCAAUUGAGUCUGCCUUCAGAUUGUACCUAGGCUUACGAUUUUUAGUUGUAAACAAUUAGAAGUGUUCCUUGCUUUUUGUCUUUCCGGCCUUAUAUGCUUUAAAGAGAUCCUGUUGCUACAUGUCAUGCACGCAGGACAGAGGGAACUCCAAGAAGAUUGACUUGCUGUUGCCGUUUCUCAUUCUUGUGCUGCAAAUUAUUGGUUCUUCUUUUCUUUUUCUUUCUUAGGUGUCUUAAAAUAAUUUGGAACUUGGAGUCUAUGGUGUUGGAUGGUAUAGCCGAUGGGAAGAUGGGUAAAUUCCUUUCACCAAGAUGGAUUGAUCUUUCUUCCUUAGUGGUUAGUGCUACCUCAAUUUUUUCGAAAUUUGAAGGGUCCAUAUGGGUGUUGAAAUUUCCUGUCUUUACAAGUCUUCAUAAUAAUCAUCUCUUAAUGCAGUCGUCACACCAAAAUUUGAGUGGACCAUCAUGAUUUAAUUAAUGUUAUGGUGCUCAUCUUGGUUGAAAUGCUCCCAGGUUAUCUAUGGAAAGUCCUCGUCGGAAAAGGGAAAAUAUUAACUGCCAUAUAAUGUUCCUUUUGUAUUCAUUUUACAAAUUAAAGGUUUUCCAAGAGUAGCAAAUUACAAUGCAUGCUAAACCAAAAUGUUUAUUUUUCUGAGUGUGUGAGGCACGUCCAAGAAAGCUCUGGCAUCUUAGAAGGCUGCAGUGGUGAAAAAUGGAAAGGAGUAGAGAUCGGAGAGUAGUUUGGGAAAAUGAUGUUUGUUUGUGGAACAGUAUUGUGAGCUCACCUUAGGUAUAUAUGUAGUUGUUUUUAUUCCCCCAGAUGUACCUAUAUGCUUAAAUAUGUCCCAGUAAAAAAAUCUUCAGACUAUCUAUUGAUCCAUACUGUCCAAUUUCACAUAUUUCUUCUUUUAUCGCCAUUGCCCUGAUUUGUAGCUAGUUGAUUGCUUGUCGUGCUGUUUCCCCAGCCUCACGUGGUUGGGCAGGUCAUGUUAGUCUGUUGUACAAUGAGAAGGCAAUCUAGCCAGUGGUGUAAAAUUGCUGGACAUGUCAUAUUCACAUUGAAACAUGAAGGUAUUGCCUCAUAUUAGAUGAUUGAAUGAAACGUGGGUACUUGAUAUGUUGCAGGAAAAGCACAGUUGGUCUUUAAGUCCAACUGUCCAAGGCACUUGUUUGUAGGCAAUGUAGAUCAGCUUCAGUGCAGGAGCUGGUAAGGCUUUGGUUAACACAUCUUCCAACUGCAAUGACUUGAGCCAUGGCUUCAGCUGAGGACCGAGAGAUUGUAUUCUGCUUCUUGGAUUUCCAUGAAAUAAGUAAAGACCCAAGAAACACGGCAAAGCCAGUAACAGAGCGUCGAGUAGUAGGCCAAGAAGCCCAAUCUGCAUCUGAAAAGGCAGAUAGGUGUAAGCUGGAGUUCUUGCCAAAGAAGAGUCCAUGCCCAAUUGUGCCUUUGAGAUUUUUAAUUACACAUUCUGCAGCUGCUAGAUGAUCCUCACACUGAAACAAAUUGGCUUAAGUUGUGCACGGCAAAAGUGAUGUCAGGCCUUGUCAAACUGAGAUAGAGCAGCCUUCCUAUGAGUCUUCUAUACUUAGGCUGCGUUUACUUUGACGGAUAAAUUUAUCCAUGAAAAAGGAUGAAUAACAAAAAUUUAUGCCUUUAAAUGUUCCUUUCUUUUCC